RNAcentral lists this ribosomal RNA (640 nucleotides) under Lactiplantibacillus plantarum. RNAcentral describes it as "bacterial SSU rRNA". It matches the Rfam family "Bacterial small subunit ribosomal RNA", at positions 55 to 660 of the family's 1533-position model. The record is from RNAcentral. Lineage: Bacteria; Bacillati; Bacillota; Bacilli; Lactobacillales; Lactobacillaceae.
AUGCAAGUCGAACGAACUCUGGUAUUGAUUGGUGCUUGCAUCAUGAUUUACAUUUGAGUGAGUGGCGAACUGGUGAGUAACACGUGGGAAACCUGCCCAGAAGCGGGGGAUAACACCUGGAAACAGAUGCUAAUACCGCAUAACAACUUGGACCGCAUGGUCCGAGUUUGAAAGAUGGCUUCGGCUAUCACUUUUGGAUGGUCCCGCGGCGUAUUAGCUAGAUGGUGGGGUAACGGCUCACCAUGGCAAUGAUACGUAGCCGACCUGAGAGGGUAAUCGGCCACAUUGGGACUGAGACACGGCCCAAACUCCUACGGGAGGCAGCAGUAGGGAAUCUUCCACAAUGGACGAAAGUCUGAUGGAGCAACGCCGCGUGAGUGAAGAAGGGUUUCGGCUCGUAAAACUCUGUUGUUAAAGAAGAACAUAUCUGAGAGUAACUGUUCAGGUAUUGACGGUAUUUAACCAGAAAGCCACGGCUAACUACGUGCCAGCAGCCGCGGUAAUACGUAGGUGGCAAGCGUUGUCCGGAUUUAUUGGGCGUAAAGCGAGCGCAGGCGGUUUUUUAAGUCUGAUGUGAAAGCCUUCGGCUCAACCGAAGAAGUGCAUCGGAAACUGGGAAACUUGAGUGCAGAAGAGGACA